Molecule: non-coding RNA, 242 nt
Organism: Schizosaccharomyces pombe (fission yeast)
Lineage: Eukaryota; Fungi; Ascomycota; Schizosaccharomycetes; Schizosaccharomycetales; Schizosaccharomycetaceae
Source: the annotation of a GenBank genome assembly
UGAAGAUUAGAUUGAGGAGAUAUGCCGUCUUUCAUAUGAGCAAAAUUAGAAGAAAACCCAGUAGUUGGAAGGGAAGACAAUGAGGGAUUACGGUGAGGAAGAGACAUUUCAAAUGUGAAAGAUCCAUCCUUUAAAAUUCGUAAUUCUUCUUCUAACUGUCUUACUUUCUGCCUUAAUUGAUCAUUCUCCAAGGUAGUCGAAGAAUGUAGCUCUUUCAACGUAACCACUUGAGUUUCCAAUGC